UAGGGCGAGUUUAGCUCGGCUCACACCCUGAAGUGACUGAUUGAGAGAGACAGAGUGACGCUCGGCUGCAUGAAUGGAGGCCGGGGUGGAUUUCAUGCCCCAUGGAGCCUGUGCUGCAGCAGAGAGGAAAGAAAUCACAUUCCACCAGAGACGCUGGUGAACUAUGGACAAUCUAAAGAGAUUAAGUGAAGGAGGAGUCGGGUACAGUACAACAUGCACAUGGGCUCCUCUGGGUGACACAGUCCUCGUGUUAUCUUAAUCUAAUUAAAAAAUCAUGUCGGACAGCUCAGGGCCACUCAGCCGGCUUCGCCUGUAAAAGGUUGAUUAUGAAAGAACACAACGCCUCACUCAGAUGUCCC
This is a long non-coding RNA of Pleuronectes platessa (European plaice), 359 nucleotides long. RefSeq lists it as uncharacterized. The transcript has 3 exons. The record is from RefSeq and is a predicted model, not a curated record. Lineage: Eukaryota; Metazoa; Chordata; Actinopteri; Pleuronectiformes; Pleuronectidae.